This 503-nucleotide ribosomal RNA is filed under the name uncultured bacterium. RNAcentral describes it as "partial 16S ribosomal RNA". It matches the Rfam family "Bacterial small subunit ribosomal RNA", at positions 30 to 523 of the family's 1533-position model. The record is from RNAcentral.
AUUGAACGCUGGCGGCAGGCUUAACACAUGCAAGUCGAGCGGGGUGAUGGUGCUUGCACUAUCACUUAGCGGCGGACGGGUGAGUAAUGCUUAGGAAUCUGCCUAUUAGUGGGGGACAACAUCUCGAAAGGGAUGCUAAUACCGCAUACGUACUACGGGAGAAAGCAGGGGAUCACUUGUGACCUUGCGCUAAUAGAUGAGCCUAAGUCGGAUUAGCGAGUUGGUGGGGUAAAGGCCUACCAAGGCGACGAUCUGUAGCAGGUCUGAGAGGAUGAUCCGCCACACUGGGACUGAGACACGGCCCAGACUCCUACGGGAGGCAGCAGUGGGGAAUAUUGGACAAUGGGGGGAACCCUGAUCCAGCCAUGCCGCGUGUGUGAAGAAGGCCUUAUGGUUGUAAAGCACUUUAAGCGAGGAGGAGGCUCUUUUGGUUAAUACCCAAGAUGAGUGGACGUUACUCGCAGAAUAAGCACCGGCUAACUCUGUGCCAGCAGCCGCGGUAA